RNAcentral lists this transfer RNA (75 nucleotides) under bacterium. RNAcentral's name for it is "tRNA-Asn". It matches the Rfam family "tRNA". From Rfam's summary of the family: Transfer RNA (tRNA) molecules are approximately 80 nucleotides in length. The record is from RNAcentral.
UCCCCUGUAGCUCAAUGGUAGAGCGCUCGCCUGUUAAGCGAAUGGUUCGUGGUUCGAGUCCACGCGGGGGAGCCA